This 402-nucleotide ribosomal RNA is filed under the name uncultured bacterium. RNAcentral's name for it is "bacterial SSU rRNA". It matches the Rfam family "Bacterial small subunit ribosomal RNA", at positions 355 to 774 of the family's 1533-position model. The record is from RNAcentral.
UGGGGAAUAUUGGACAAUGGGCGAAAGCCUGAUCCAGCCAUGCCGCGUGAGUGAUGAAGGCCCUAGGGUUGUAAAGCUCUUUCACCGGUGAAGAUAAUGACGGUAACCGGAGAAGAAGCCCCGGCUAACUUCGUGCCAGCAGCCGCGGUAAUACGAAGGGGGCUAGCGUUGUUCGGAAUUACUGGGCGUAAAGCGCACGUAGGCGGAUUGUUAAGUCGGGGGUGAAAUCUCGGGGCUCAACCCCGGAACUGCCUUCGAUACUGGCAAUCUAGAGUCCGGAAGAGGUGAGUGGAAUUCCGAGUGUAGAGGUGAAAUUCGUAGAUAUUCGGAGGAACACCAGUGGCGAAGGCGGCUCACUGGUCCGGUACUGACGCUGAGGUGCGAAAGCGUGGGGAGCAAACA